RNAcentral lists this transfer RNA (72 nucleotides) under Camelus ferus (Wild Bactrian camel). It matches the Rfam family "tRNA". Rfam says of the family: Transfer RNA (tRNA) molecules are approximately 80 nucleotides in length. Their secondary structure includes four short double-helical elements and three loops (D, anti-codon, and T loops). The record is from Rfam by way of RNAcentral. Lineage: Eukaryota; Metazoa; Chordata; Mammalia; Artiodactyla; Camelidae.
GAGGGUAUAGCUCAGUGGUAGAGCGCAUGCUUAGCAUGCACGGCGUCCUGGGUUCAAUCCCCGGCACCUCCG